UACGGGGGGGGCAAGCGUUGUUCGGAAUUACUGGGCGUAAAGGGCGCGUAGGCGGCUCGCUAAGUCGGGUGUGAAAACUCUGGGCUCAACCCAGAGCCUGCAUUCGAAACUGACGAGCUAGAGUUCUGGAGGGGAAAGCGGAAUUCCUGGUGUAGCGGUGAAGUGCGUAGAUAUCAGGAGGAACACCGGUGGCGAAGGCGGCUUUCUGGACAGAAACUGACGCUGAGGCGCGAAAGCUAGGGGAGCUAACAGG
RNAcentral lists this ribosomal RNA (253 nucleotides) under uncultured bacterium. RNAcentral's name for it is "partial 16S ribosomal RNA". It matches the Rfam family "Bacterial small subunit ribosomal RNA", at positions 524 to 776 of the family's 1533-position model. The record is from RNAcentral.